GAGGCUGGGAUUCGAACCCUCGGGAACCCAGUGUUAUCAGUUGUUCAGAUUCUUUUCUUAAGCAAAGCUGGAAACAGAGUUUUUAAUGUUAAGUCUCCUGCUUUUAAAAAACAUCGAUCGAAUCAACCAAACACAACGCUGUUUUUCCAAACAGACCAUGCUGGGGCCCCAGAACGCCCGCCCCCACUGCGGGCCGGGCGGGAGCCCUGCUCACAGCCACCCUGCCUGUCCCCAGGGCCCUGUGGCCAGCGGCAGCCCGGUCAGACUCGGGGCUGGCAACGAUAGGAGUCGGAGCUGAUGUGUACGCUGAGAGCUUCCUGUGGGCCAAGCCUGUGCCUAGCAGUUCCGUUCUCACGAGGGCCCUUGUCCAAGGUCAGGGGAUUGUGACCUUCCUUUUGCAGAUGAAGGAACAGAGGCCCAGAGAAGUCAGGUAUCUUGUCUCAGGUUGCACAGCUGGGAGUGGUGGAGUCAGGACUAGAACCCGGGCCAUUGGGUUCCAGAGUGGGGCUUGGUCCACUGUACUUUUUGCCUUUGUUUGGGUCCAAUUCUGAAGAAUCCCAGGGAAGGGUGAGUGACGAACAUCUGCUCAGUCCUGAUGGUGACCCGUGCCAGGCACUUCCUGUCACUUUAUUUCGUGUGACCCUUACACCAACCCUGGCGCGGUGGGGCUUCUUAUUGGAACAGAUGUGGGUGCCGAGCCUCAGAGAGGCCUAGAGAACUGCCGAGAUCACACGGGCAGGGUUUGAACUUGGAUUUGAAGGACUGCAGGGCCCACGAUAAUUACCCCAUGAGAAGGUGGUAAUUAAGUGAUUUUCAGUUUUUAAAAGAAUACCUGCUUAAGGAGGGAGCACAGAAAAGUGCAGCGAGGAAGAGUUAGGACAGCUCUGUUGAAGUGACUGGGCUGCAGCAGCUCCCUUCGUGUGUAUUUAGGGGGCGCUUGGGGGUCCCCUGCGUCUGGGUCUAAAGCUCCUUGGGGCGUGGGGUGAGGAGCGUGGAAGCAGGCAGUGCUGGGGUGAGGGCCGUGCCCGCUGUUGUCCCGGGUUUUCUCUCCUCCCUUUGUCUGUGAGUACCUUGCUCAUAACAGCCUCGCUGUGAUCAGCGUGUUUGGAUCCACACCCUCUCUCUAAGUGGUGCUAAUUGAAUUAACCACAGCCUAAGGUGGUGUUUUCGAGGUUGGCAUCUAGGAGGCUUUUUGUCGGAAGGCCCAGCCAGCCAAGAUGCUGACUCCCACUCCUGUUCAUUCAACACGAUGCCCCCGGGCACCUGCUCUGUGCCAAGCUCUGUGCUGGGUGCCAGGGGAGUAGAAAUGGAAGGCAGUGUCCCUGUAGCCGCCGCCGACCUCGUGAUCUAGUGGGGCCGGAGAGGGCAACUGCUCUGCGAUGCAACCUGUAGGGAGGCCGGUCCAGGUGACACAGACAGGACACGGGCAGGUGGGGAGGUGGGAAGGGAGAGAUGCACUGGAGGGAGCCUGGGGGAAGAGCCUUCAGACUGAGCCCCUCAAGUGAGCACUCGGGGGUCUCAUCUAUCUUCCUGAGCCCGGCACCUAGCUCAAGGCCUGUGCACAGGGGCUGCUGGGGGUGCAUUUCAAGGUUGCAUUCAGGCGUCCAGCCCCAUGAGGCAGAAGGUAAGUGGUAAGUGACAUUAAACUGUAUUUAGGCCCAUGUCUGCCUACAGGCCACUUUAGUUUCUUUCAAACACAUGGAAUAGGCACCUAGUACUAGGACCAUGCAUCUGGGUUAGCUGUGGACAGCAGGCCUGCAGCCCCUGCAGCAUAGAGGGGUCCAAGGUCAAGGCCAGCAUUUUAGUCAGAAGCUGGGUUCCUGUUGGUACUUGGUACUCAGUACUCAGUACUCAGUACUCGGUGGAUGCUUGACAACUAUUUGACAAACGAGUCAAUGGGCACCAGGGCCUGUGGGUGAAGCAGGGAGCUGAGGCUGGGAGCUGAGGCUGGGAGCAGCACUCUGCUGCCCGGAAGUGCUCAGUAAAUACUCCUCAAUCAUUUCCUGGCGAGCCCUGUGGUGUGCCCAGGAGAGUCCUGGUUGUGUGGGGGAGGGGGUGCUCGUCCUUUGGGCGGCCUGACCUCCUGCCCUCUGGCUCUCUGGGAGCCGGGGUGGUGGCACCAGCCUGUGGAGGCGUCACUGAGUAAACAAGCAGCAAACACAGGGAGAAGAACCUGUUGCCAGGCAGCCUCUCAGCUUAGUGAGCUAAACAGAAGCAUGUGAUGCACCCUGGAGGCAGCCCUCAGGGGAUUCCGGGAGCUGGGGGCCUGACGGGAUACACACCCAGAUCCCCCACCCCCACCCUCACUUCAAAGAAAGUGCCACCCAUGGGGUUGGGGUGGGGUGGGGUGGGGUGGGGGGGUUGUGAGGCGCCUUCUCUGACCCAGUCUCUGGGAUCCUUGCUUUGACUUGGGUUUCUCUGCAGGCAGGUGACCCCGAGCCAGGAGCCUGGGAGUUUGCUCUUGCGGAAGGCUCGGGUAGAGUCCCCUCGGCUCCUGAGGACACUUGUGGGUCUGUCUUCUGUUCUCUGCAGUGGUGGAGGGGCACUGUGGUCCAGAAAGUCUGGAGAGCUCUGGGCUGACCACAGUCAGGCGUCUGUCUUGUGGACUUGUACGGCCCCUCAGUGUGCUUGUGACCCCGUGAGAGGGAGGGUGAAUAAAAAACCUUCUUUUCCCAGCGUUUUGUUUUACCUCAUAUCUAUCUGUUUUCCUUUCUAAAACUAUCUCGUGACACUGUUGUUUUCAGGAACCCCAUGCUGGAAUGUCAUUCAUUCAUUCAUUCAACAAAUAUUUAUUGAAUACCUACUAUAUGCCAGUGAACAUUUUAGAGGUUUGGGAUACAUUCAGUGGCCAAUUCAGACUUGGGAGGAACUGGCAUUCUUGCAGAAGCGAUGAACUCAUCUCUAUGGAGCACCCACCGGGUGGCAGGCAUGCGAGUUAUCAAACCUUACCCUGUCGAACCCUUGCAGCGGCCUGCUCAGGUAGAUGGACCCUUUCACAGAGCAGGUAACUGCGGCUCUAAGGAGCGAAGUGACUUGCCCACUUUGGCUGAAUCGUCCUUUUGGGGAUUGUGCCUUUGAAUGACAAGAGGAGCCGGUGAUCGAAGGAACCUCCGGAAGAGACCUCAGGGAGUGUGGUGGGAGGUCCCAGGCCUUGCGUCCCUUCAUCAGGCUCUGAUGGGGAAACUUCUCUGAGGCCCUGAAUCGUGCAGGGGAGGAUGUGCUUCUUCAGAACAACCGGUUUGUUUUCGUGCUCUGGGCACCGACGGUCUCGUGGCUGAUCCUGUUUCUCUUUGGCUGUGGUUACCAAGCGCCUGAGCGCUAGAUCGGUGGCCCGUCUUGACACUUCUGCAGGAAGGGGCCGUGUGGUGCCUCUUUCCAUGGGCGAUCUCACCCCAGGCUUCGCCAUUUCCUCUGUACUUGCUUUUUCUUGGCCCGACUCCCCCGAUGUUUAUUUUUUUUUUAUUUUGUGUCGUUGCUAUUAUUCUAAGCCCCCAUAAAUACUUUGUGGAUGGAGCUGAGUAGAACUAAAUUUUAAAAUGAAUGGUAGGAUGACUCGUAGUAAGGCCCCCAGCUCGUCUGUGGGGAGGAGGGCUCCCCGCUCUGUGCACCGCACUCCUGCCUUUCCGGAUUAGGAUCCGCCAGGAGUCAGGUCUGUUUGCUUCUGCAGCCACCGUCUGGUGGGUUCCACACGAAGCUGGGCCGGCGGGAUUGGAGGCCCUGAGUGGCUUGAACUGACCUGGAUGUCACACACAUGGCUGGAGGAAGGCUCCAGGCCAUGGGCCCCUUCUUGGGGAGGGCUGCUCAGCCUCUCCUUCCUGCGUGCCGUGUGUUUGGUUCCAAGCGGGGCAGAGAGAUGAGCGCUGCAUGCUCUUUGCAGCUACUCUGCACUCAUUAUCCCCAUGGCAACUCCAGGCGAGCAAGGAGAGGAGCAGGUGGCAUUGACGAGGAAACUGGGGUCUGCAGAGGUUAAAUGACUUCCCUGCUGCGCGAGGCCUGAGCCUGUGGCCCCGACAGGAAGCCAGAUGGCUGCAAGGAGAGCUCCUGGAACCCUGUGUGGGGUAGGUGGCCUCAUGCAAACAGGGAACAGCUUAGGGUUUGCACCACGGGGCUUGAGUCCUGGCCGCCACUGUGUGCAUGGGGGUGAAUCAGCUUUCGGAGUCUCAGUAGCCUCAUCUUUAAAAUGGGCACCUAAUUCCUGCCUACCAGCCUCACGGGACUGCUGUAAGGAAAUGCAGGAGAUGAGCGUGGGAACGUUUGUCUGGUGUUAAGCACUGUGCCUGUGUCUUCAUUCUGUUGCUGCUGGUAGUAGUAAUAAUAAUAAUAAUAAACACCAGGAAUGUUGACUUCUGUACCAGUCCAUGUGGUCAACUUCACAUACAUGAUCCUAAUGGGUGUGCAAACAAGCAGACCAGUAGGGGCUAGGAUAGCCCAGUUUUAUAGGUGGAAAAGAAUGAAGCAAUCUGCUUAAGAAAGAUGAACUUGCUUCAGGUCACAGGGCUUUAAGGGGUAGAGCCACAUUUGAACCCAGACAGCUGACCCUCAGCUGAACUUGUCUCCACUAUCAGAGGAAAGGGCAGAUGCUUGGGGCCUUCUGGGGGCUUGGCCCCUGUGCCCAUCAGUGUGGUGGGUGCAGUAGGGACCAUCUUGGGCAGGGCGUGGGUCCUGGAGGGGCAGUGGAACCAAGGACUCAGCUGGGGAACGGCCUGGGGUGGCCGAACCACAGGUCUUUCACCUGUUGGAUGGGGCUAUAAUAAUGUGCUUCAGGGGGUUACAUGAAGUAGGACAGACAUAGAUGCUUGUAUAAAAAGGUCUGUGAUACAGAAAUGACAUUUUGCAAACUUGCAGAGUAGAUAUAACUUACUCGGAACAGCCACUUCUGUUUUUUUGAAUCGUCUGGUUGCUGAGACGGCUGGAUCACUCCCAGGAGGCAGCACCGGGCCAUCCCCUGGCUGGGAGCAGCCAGUCUGCAUUCCCCCCCACCCCAAGCAAGCCACGGACCCCAUCUGGGAGGGGAUGCCACCUGCCCUCUUCCUUGUGUGCACCACGCCUGUGCUCCUUUGACACGGAAAGCACCGUGCAGAGAGCGGCCCUGGGCCUGCAGGGCGGGUGCCGGUGCUGAAGGUGGGCACAGGUCAGUGUGACCUUUUGUCACGGAGCCCUGGGCAGAGCCACCCCACGCAGGCCACACGUGGGGCUGUGAGGAAGCAGGAAGCCACAGGACCAUGAUUGACUCCUCCAAGUGUUGCAAUUUUAUUUAUUUU
Long non-coding RNA from Phyllostomus discolor (pale spear-nosed bat), 5261 nucleotides. RefSeq lists it as uncharacterized. The record is from RefSeq and is a predicted model, not a curated record. NCBI's taxonomy places the organism in Eukaryota, Metazoa, Chordata, Mammalia, Chiroptera, Phyllostomidae. The transcript has 2 exons.